This 253-nucleotide ribosomal RNA is filed under the name uncultured bacterium. RNAcentral's name for it is "partial 16S ribosomal RNA". It matches the Rfam family "Bacterial small subunit ribosomal RNA", at positions 524 to 776 of the family's 1533-position model. The record is from RNAcentral.
UACGGAGGGUGCAAGCGUUAUCCGGAAUCACUGGGUUUAAAGGGUGCGUAGGCGGCCCUAUAAGUCAGAGGUGAAAGCCCACCGCUUAACGGUGGAACUGCCUUUGAAACUAUAGAGCUUGAAUUAGGUUGAGGUUAGCGGAAUGAGUCAUGUAGCGGUGAAAUGCAUAGAUAUGACUUAGAACACCAAUUGCGAAGGCAGCUGGCUGAGCCUUAAUUGACGCUGAGGCACGAAAGCGUGGGGAGCGAACAGG